UGCUUUCCACAGCUUUGAAGGCCCCUUUGA
RNAcentral lists this non-coding RNA (30 nucleotides) under Homo sapiens (human). Lineage: Eukaryota; Metazoa; Chordata; Mammalia; Primates; Hominidae. The record is from RNAcentral.